RNAcentral lists this ribosomal RNA (253 nucleotides) under uncultured bacterium. RNAcentral's name for it is "partial 16S ribosomal RNA". It matches the Rfam family "Bacterial small subunit ribosomal RNA", at positions 524 to 776 of the family's 1533-position model. The record is from RNAcentral.
UACGUAGGCAGCAAGCGUUGUUCGGAUUCACUGGGUUUAAAGGGAGCGCAGGCGGAUUGGUAAGUCAGUGGUGAAAGCCUUAAGCUUAAUUUGGGAACUGCCAUUGAUACUAUCAGUCUUGAAUAUUGUUGAGGUUUGCGGAAUGGGUCAUGUAGCGGUGAAAUGCAUAGAUAUGACCCGGAACACCUAUUGCGAAGGCAGCAGGCUAAACAAAGAUUGACGCUGAGGCUCGAAAGCGUGGGGAUCAAACAGG